RNAcentral lists this ribosomal RNA (258 nucleotides) under uncultured bacterium. RNAcentral's name for it is "partial 16S ribosomal RNA". It matches the Rfam family "Bacterial small subunit ribosomal RNA", at positions 334 to 584 of the family's 1533-position model. The record is from RNAcentral.
AGGACCUACGGGGCGCAGCAGUGGGGAAUAUUGCGCAAUGGGCGAAAGCCUGACGCAGCGACGCCGCGUGGGUGAAGAAGGUCUUCGGAUCGUAAAACCCUGUUGUUAGAGAAGAAAGUGCGUGAGAGUAACUGUUCACGUUUCGACGGUAUCUAACCAGAAAGCCACGGCUAACUACGUGCCAGCAGCCGCGGUAAUACGUAGGUGGCAAGCGUUAUCCGGAUUUAUUGGGCGUAAAGGGAACGCAGGCGGUCUUUU